AUCAACUUUCGAUGGUAGGAUAGAGGCCUACCAUGGUGGUAACGGGUAACGGGGUGUUAGGGCACGACACCGGAGGGGGAGCCUGAGAAACGGCUACCACAUCCAAGGAAGGCAGCAGGCGCGCAAAUUACCCAAUCCCGACACGGGGAGGUAGUGACAAUAAAUAACAAUACAGGGUUCUUUUGGAUCUUGUAAUUGGAAUGAGUACAAUUUAAAUCUCUUAACGAGGAACAAUUGGAGGGCAAGUCUGGUGCCAGCAGCCGCGGUAAUUCCAGCUCCAAUAGCGUAUAUUAAAGUUGUUGCAGUUAAAAAGCUCGUAGUUGAAUUUCGGGAUCAAGGAAUCGGUCAUGCCUUGGUAUGUACUGGUUUUAUUGGUUCUCACCUUCUAAAGAACCAUAAUGUCAUUCAUUUGAUGUUAUGGGGAAUUAGGACUGUUACCUUGAAAAAAUUAGAGUGUUUAAAGCAGGCUUACGCUUGAAUACAUUAGCAUGGAAUAAUGAAAUAGGACAUCAGAUUCUAUUUUGUUGGUUUCUAGGAUCGAUGUAAUGAUUAAUAGGGAUAGUUGGGGGCAUUAGUAUUCAAUUGUCAGAGGUGAAAUUCUUGGAUUUAUUGAAGACUAACUACUGCGAAAGCAUUUGCCAAGGAUGUUUUCAUUAAUCAAGAACGAAAGUUAGGGGAUCGAAGACGAUCAGAUACCGUCGUAGUCUUAACCAUAAACUAUGCCGACUAGGGAUCGGAUGAUGUUAAUUUUAUAAUGACUCAUUCGGCACCUUACGGGAAACCAAAGUGUUUGGGUUC
Molecule: ribosomal RNA, 798 nt
Filed under: uncultured Glomus
Lineage: Eukaryota; Fungi; Glomeromycota; Glomeromycetes; Glomerales; Glomeraceae
Description: SSU rRNA
Rfam family: Eukaryotic small subunit ribosomal RNA
Source: RNAcentral